Molecule: long non-coding RNA, 422 nt
Filed under: Hordeum vulgare
Lineage: Eukaryota; Viridiplantae; Streptophyta; Magnoliopsida; Poales; Poaceae
Description: long non-coding RNA (HVUL_LNC012156)
Source: RNAcentral
UAUCUUUAGCUUCGCUUCUACUUCCCCUGGACACUCCAAACUCCUCUAAGGCCACCUUACGAAUACAACAACAACAAAGCCUUUAGGUAGGCUAGAGGUGAAACCCAUAAGACCUCACGACCAACUCAUGGUUCUGGCAUAUGGAUAGCAAGCUUCUAUGCAUCCCUGUCCAUGUCUAGUUCUUUGGUGAUGCUCCAAUCCUUUAGAUCUCUCUUUACAGACGCUUCCCAUGUCAAGUUCGGUCUACCCCGACCUCUCUUGACAAUAUCAGCAUGCUUUAGCCGUCCGCUAUGCACUAGGGCUUCUGGAGGCCUGCGUCCGUCCGCUAUGCACUAGGGCUUCUGGAAGCCUGCGCUGAAUAUGCCCAAACCAUCUUAGACGAUGUUGGACAAGCUUCUCUUCAAUUUGCGCUACCCCAACUC